GGACUACUGGGGUAUCUAAUCCUGUUUGCUCCCCACGCUUUCGCGCCUCAGCGUCAGUAUCGGGCCAGUGUGUCGCCUUCGCCACUGGUGUUCUUCCGAAUAUCUACGAAUUUCACCUCUACACUCGGAGUUCCACACACCUCUCCCGAACUCUAGGUGCCCAGUAUCAAAGGCAGUUCCAGGGUUGAGCCCUGGGAUUUAACCUCUGACUUAAACACCCGCCUACGCGCCCUUUACGCCCAGUAAUUCCGAGCAACGCUAGCCCCCUUCGUAUUACCGCGGCUGCUGGCAC
This 292-nucleotide ribosomal RNA is filed under the name uncultured bacterium. RNAcentral's name for it is "partial 16S ribosomal RNA". The record is from RNAcentral.